RNAcentral lists this ribosomal RNA (497 nucleotides) under uncultured bacterium. RNAcentral describes it as "partial 16S ribosomal RNA". It matches the Rfam family "Bacterial small subunit ribosomal RNA", at positions 28 to 507 of the family's 1533-position model. The record is from RNAcentral.
GAUGAACGCUGGCGGCGUGCCUAAUACAUGCAAGUCGAGCGAACAGACGAGGAGCUUGCUCCUCUGACGUUAGCGGCGGACGGGUGAGUAACACGUGGAUAACCUACCUAUAAGACUGGGAUAACUUCGGGAAACCGGAGCUAAUACCGGAUAAUAUAUUGAACCGCAUGGUUCAAUAGUGAAAGACGGUUUUGCUGUCACUUAUAGAUGGAUCCGCGCCGCAUUAGCUAGUUGGUAAGGUAACGGCUUACCAAGGCAACGAUGCGUAGCCGACCUGAGAGGGUGAUCGUCCCCCCUGGAACUGAGACACGGUCCAGACUCCUACGGGAGGCCGCAGUAGGGAAUCUUCCGCAAUGGGCGAAAGCCUGACGGAGCAACGCCGCGUGAGUGAUGAAGGUCUUCGGAUCGUAAAACUCUGUUAUUAGGGAAGAACAAAUGUGUAAGUAACUAUGCACGUCUUGACGGUACCUAAUCAGAAAGCCACGGCUAACUACGUG